GACGAACGCUGGCGGCGUGCUUAACACAUGCAAGUCGAACGGUAAGGCCCUUCGGGGUACACGAGUGGCGAACGUGUGAGUAACACGUGGGUGAUCUGCCCUGCACUUCGGGAUAAGCCUGGGAAACUGGGUCUAAUACCGGCUAGGACUACGGACUGCAUGGUCUGGGGUGGAAAGCUUUUGCGGUGUGGGAUGGGCCCGCGGCCUAUCAGCUUGGUGGUGGGGUGAGGGCCUACCAAGGCGACGACGGGUAGCCGGCCUGAGAGGGUGACCGGCCAGACUGGGACUGAGAUACGGCCCAGACUCCUACGGGAGGCAGCAGUGGGGAAUAUUGCACAAUGGGCGCAAGCCUGAUGCAGCGACGCCGCGUGAGGGAUGACGGCCUUCGGGUUGUAAACCUCUUUCAGCAUCGACGAAGCGAAAGUGACGGUAGGUGCAGAAGAAGGACCGGCCAACUACGUGCCAGCAGCCGCCGUAA
Molecule: ribosomal RNA, 478 nt
Filed under: uncultured bacterium
Lineage: Bacteria
Description: partial 16S ribosomal RNA
Rfam family: Bacterial small subunit ribosomal RNA
Source: RNAcentral